Molecule: ribosomal RNA, 347 nt
Filed under: uncultured bacterium
Lineage: Bacteria
Description: partial 16S ribosomal RNA
Rfam family: Bacterial small subunit ribosomal RNA
Source: RNAcentral
CCUACGGGAGGCAGCAGUGAGGAAUAGUGGUCAAUGGGCGCGAGCCUGAACCAGCCAAGUAGCGUGAAGGAUGACGGCCCUACGGGUUGUAAACUUCUUUUAUAAAGGAAUAAAGUGAGGCACGUGUGCCUUUUUGUAUGUACGUUAUGAAUAAGGAUCGGCUAACUCCGUGCCAGCAGCCGCGGUAAUACGGAGGAUCCGAGCGUUAUCCGGAUUUAUUGGGUUUAAAGGGAGCGUAGAGGGGUUGUUAAGUCAGUGGGGAAAGUUUGCGGCUCAACCGUAAAAUUGCCAUUGAUACUGGCAGUCUUGCGUUCAGUUGCGGUAGGCGGAAUUCGUGGUGUAGCGGU